GACGAGGGGUCCUAGCGUUGUUCGGAAUCAUUGGGCGUAAAGCGGGUGUAGGUGGCUUUGUAAGUCAGAAGUGAAAGCCCUGGGCUCAACCCAGGAAGUGCUUUUGAUACUGCAGAGCUUGAGUGUGGGAGAGGAUGCUGGAAUUCCAGGUGUAGUGGUGAAAUACGUAGAUAUCUGGAGGAACACCGGUGGCGAAGGCGGGCAUCUGGCCCAACACUGACACUCAGACCCGAAAGCGUGGGGAUCAAACAGG
Molecule: unclassified non-coding RNA, 253 nt
Filed under: uncultured Pseudobdellovibrionaceae bacterium
Lineage: Bacteria; Pseudomonadati; Bdellovibrionota; Bdellovibrionia; Bdellovibrionales; Pseudobdellovibrionaceae
Description: uncultured Bdellovibrionaceae bacterium contains 16S-23S intergenic spacer region
Rfam family: Bacterial small subunit ribosomal RNA
Source: RNAcentral